UACGUAGGGGGCAAGCGUUGUCCGGAAUUAUUGGGCGUAAAGCGCGCGCAGGCGGUCGUUUAAGUCUGAUGUAUAAACCCGAGGCUCAACCUUGGGAGGCAUUGGAAACUGGGCGACUGGAGUGUAGGAGAGGAAAGUGGAAUUCCACGUGUAGCGGUGAAAUGCGUAGAGAUGUGGAGGAACACCAGUGGCGAAGGCGACUUUCUGGCCUAUAACUGACGCUGAGGCGCGAAAGCGUGGGGAGCAAACAGG
This 252-nucleotide ribosomal RNA is filed under the name uncultured bacterium. RNAcentral's name for it is "partial 16S ribosomal RNA". It matches the Rfam family "Bacterial small subunit ribosomal RNA", at positions 524 to 776 of the family's 1533-position model. The record is from RNAcentral.